This 429-nucleotide ribosomal RNA is filed under the name Actinomycetes bacterium. Its description in RNAcentral is "Actinobacteria bacterium partial 16S ribosomal RNA". It matches the Rfam family "Bacterial small subunit ribosomal RNA", at positions 355 to 776 of the family's 1533-position model. Lineage: Bacteria; Bacillati; Actinomycetota; Actinomycetes. The record is from RNAcentral.
UAGGGAAUCUUCCGCAAUGGGCGAAAGCCUGACGGAGCAACGCCGCGUGAGUGAUGAAGGUCUUCGGAUCGUAAAACUCUGUUAUUAGGGAAGAACAAAUGUGUAAGUAACUAUGCACGUCUUGACGGUACCUAAUCAGAAAGCCACGGCUAACUACGUGCCAGCAGCCGCGGUAAUACAUAGGUGGCAAGCGUUAUCCGGAAUUAUUGGGCGUAAAGCGCGCGUAGGCGGUUUUUUAAGUCUGAUGUGAAAGCCCACGGCUCAACCGUGGAGGGUCAUUGGAAACUGGAAAACUUGAGUGCAGAAGAGGAAAGUGGAAUUCCAUGUGUAGCGGUGAAAUGCGCAGAGAUAUGGAGGAACACCAGUGGCGAAGGCGACUUUCUGGUCUGUAACUGACGCUGAUGUGCGAAAGCGUGGGGAUCAAACAGG